UGAAUACGAAAUGCUACGGCAUUGAAGUGAUCUAUGCCAGGCUUCCAAGAAAAUCUCGUCAUAUCUUAAGCAGUAGAUGCCUGUACCUUAAACCGACACAGGUAGGUAGGUAGAGUAUACCAAGGGGCGCGAGAUAACUCUCUCUAAGGAACUCGGCAAAAUAACCUCGUAACUUCGGAAGAAGAGGUACCCUUGAAAAAGGGUUGCAAUAACCAGACCCUGGCGACUGUUUACCAAAAACACAGGUCUCCGCUAAUUCGUAAGAUCAAGUAUGGAGGCUGACGCCUGCCCAGUGCCGGAAGGUUAAAGAAGUUGGUCAAUCUUUGGAUGAAGCUGGCGACUGAAGCCCCGGUGAACGGCGGCCGUAACUAUAACGGUCCUAAGGUAGCGAAGUUCCUUGUCGGGUAAGUUCCGACCCGCACGAAAGGCGUAACGAUCAGGGUGCUGUCUCGGAGAGAGACUCGGCGAAAUAGACAUGUCUGUGAAGAUGCGGACUACCUGCACCUGGACAGAAAGACCCUAUGAAGCUUUACUGUAUCUUGGAAUUGGGUUUGGGCCUUGCUUGCGCAGGAUAGGUGGGAGGCUGUGAAGAUAUUCUUGCGGGAAUGUUGGAGCCAACGGUGAGAUACCACUCUAGUAAGGCUAAAAUUCUAACUCUGAACCGUUAUCCGGUCAGAGAACAGUUUCAGGUGGGCAGUUUGACUGGGGCGGUCGCCUCCUAAAAGGUAACGGAGGCGCGCAAAGGUCCCCUCAGGCUGGUUGGACAUCAGUCGUAGAGUGUAAAGGCAUAAGGGAGCUUGACUGCGAGACCCACAAGUCGAGCAGAGACGAAAGUCGGCCUUAGUGAUCCGACGGUUCCACGUGGAAGGGCCGUCGCUCAACGGAUAAAAGUUACUCUAAGGAUAACAGGCUGAUCUCCCCCAAGAGUUCACAUCGACGGGGAGUUUUGGCACCUUGAUGUCGGCUCAUCGCAUCCUGGGGCGGUAGUACGUCCCAAGGGUUGGGCUGUUCGCCCAUGAAAGCGGUACGCGAGCUGGGUUCAGAACGUCGUGAGACAGUUCGGUCCAUAUCCGGUGCAGGCGUUAGAGCAUUGAGAGGAGUCCCCCUUAGUACGAGAGGACCGGGGGGAAUACACCGCUGGUGUACCAGUUAUCGUGCCAACGGUAAACGCUGGGUAGCCAUGUGUAGCGCGGAUAACUGCUGAAAGCAUCUAAGUAGGAAGCCCACCUUAAGAUGAGUGCUCUCACCGCUAUAAGCGGGUAAGGUCACGGUAAGAACAACCGUUAUAUAGGCAUUAAGUAUACGUGCAGUAAUGCAUUUAGCUGAGAUGUACUAACAGACCGAGGGCUUGAUAAA
Molecule: ribosomal RNA, 1356 nt
Filed under: metagenome
Description: bacterial LSU rRNA
Rfam family: Bacterial large subunit ribosomal RNA
Source: RNAcentral